AAAUAAAUAAAAUGAAAAAAAAAAAAAAGACAAUCAUUGACAUCACGAACCCUAACCUUUUCAGAUGAAGUGUGGAAUAAAGUCUCAACCAAGAGUUCUCUAUAUUAAUUUCCUAGUAGCAGCAUCAACUUUUUCCACCAGUUAACUUCUGCAAUAAUACUUAAUCCAUUGUUGGCCAAAAUUGUUUUAAUUUGAACCAAUGGACAACCCUAUGAUUCAAUUGAAUCAACUCUGUCCAGGUAUCAUGAUUCAAAAUUUGACUUCCUUGUCCAGCAUUGUUUUUAAAGGACCACAAAACAGCUCUCAGGAUCAAAUCCCCACAAUGAAUGUGGUAUUACACCACCACCACUGCUACCCUCUAAAAACACAAGCUAUCCUAUAGCUCAUCACCACUUGGAUCUUCCAUGCUAUCACUAUAUAUUUCCAUCCACAGAUGCCUUCCUAUGAACCAUGCCUUGAAAGCUAGUUUCUCUAAGUUACCAAUAUAAUGACUGUAAAAGCCUUUCGAAAAUAAUUCUCUUUCCUGCAGACAAGAAAACAUCAAGUUCUAACCAAUAACCAUUGUACAAGUUGUCAAGCAAUUUUUACAGUCCAAUCAAGAGAACAAAUUCUAAUUUGCGGUGAAAAUAGAGGCAAAAAUCUGAAGAGGAAUUGAUGUAAUGGCCUAACAGAUUGCUUCAGUCUUCAGAUAGGACUCUUUUUAUUUCCACCCUCUAAAACCAACAGUAAUUUUAAUCCUCUCUCAAACUUCCACCUAAGACACAAAAACAGAAGACUACCUAUUUCAUGACUUGAAUCAAUUGCUAUCAGUCUGCAAGGAAGAUAAAUGUCCCACUUCACCUAACAGGACCAAUUCACUUUCCUUUCAGUCUACAUCAAUGCCAAGCCACCUCAAAGAAAAAGUGAUUGCUUAAAAAAGACAUUGAUUAGUUAUUGUCAACACUACGGAAUAAUUGCACACCAAUAUUCAAAAUGAUUAAUGAAGACCUCAUUUUCCUAGUGCAAAUUCUUUCUACAGGAGUGCCAAGGCUUCUAUCAUGAAAAGUCUAUAAAGAGUGGUUAAUGCGCUUCCAUCACCAAAAGUUUAUAACAUCCAAUCUAACACAAAGUCUAAGCUCCCUGGUGGUGGAAGCCCCAUAAAUAAAAUU
RNAcentral lists this unclassified non-coding RNA (1148 nucleotides) under Hevea brasiliensis (rubber tree). Lineage: Eukaryota; Viridiplantae; Streptophyta; Magnoliopsida; Malpighiales; Euphorbiaceae. The record is from RNAcentral.